This 316-nucleotide unclassified non-coding RNA is filed under the name plant metagenome. Its description in RNAcentral is "partial contains 5.8S ribosomal RNA, internal transcribed spacer 2, and large subunit ribosomal RNA". The stretch from base 1 to 105 matches the Rfam family "5.8S ribosomal RNA", at positions 50 to 154 of the family's 154-position model. The record is from RNAcentral.
GAAAUGUGAUAACUAAUGUGAAUUGCAGAAUUCAGUGAAUCAUCGAGUCUUUGAACGCACAUUGCGCCCCCUGGUAUUCCGGGGGGCAUGCCUGUCCGAGCGUCAUUGCUGCCCUCAAGCCCGGCUUGUGUGUUGGGUCGCCGUCCCCCUCUCCGGGGGGACGGGCCCGAAAGGCAGCGGCGGCACCGCGUCCGAUCCUCGAGCGUAUGGGGCUUUGUCACAUGCUCUGUAGGAUUGGCCGGCGCCUGCCGACGUUUUCCAACCAUUCUUUCCAGGUUGACCUCGGAUCAGGUAGGGAUACCCGCUGAACUUAAGC